GAUAGGGAAUGAGAAGAGUGUGCACAAAGCACAUUGGAUGCUUGAAUGAAAACCUGAUGAUCCAGCUAUACCCAAAAGAUGCUCCAACAUAUAACAAAGACACAUGAUCCACUAUGUUCAUAGCAGCCUUAUUUAUAAUAGUCAGAAGCUGGAAAGAACUCAGAUGUCCUUCAACAGAGGAAUGGAUACUGAAAAUGUGGUACAUUUCCACAAUGGUGUACCACUCAGCUAUUAAAAAUGACUUCAUAAUAUUUUAGGCAAAUGGAUGGAGCUAGAAAAUAUAAUCCUGAGUGAGGUAAAUCAGUUGUAAAAGAACACACGUGGUGUGCACUCACUAAUAAGUGGAUGUUAGCCUAAGAGCUUGGAAUACCCAAGAUACAAUUCACAGACCACAUGAAGGUCAGGAAGAAGGAGGACCAAAAGUGGAUGCUUUAGUCCUUCUUAGAAGGGGGAACACAAUAUUUACAGGAGGAAAUAUGGAGACAAAGUGUGGAUCAGAGACUAAAAGAAAGGCCAUCCAGAAACUGCCCCACCUCGGGACUCAUUGCAUAUACAGACACCAGAGACACUAUUGAGGAUGCCAAGAAGUGCUUGCUGACAGGAGCCUGAUAUAGCUGUCUCCUGUGAGGCUCUACCAGAGCCUGACAAAUACAGAGGCAGAGAUCACAGCCAACCAUUAGACUGAGUAUGUGGUCCCCAAUGAAAGGACUAAAGAAGCUGAAGUGAUUUACAUCCCCAUAGGAAGAAAAAUAAUAUCAAACACCAGACCCCUCCACCCCAAGCUUCCAGGAACUAAACCACCAACCAACGAGUACACAUGGAGGGUCCCAUGGAUCUAGCUGGAUAUGUAGCAGAGGAUGGCCCUGUCAGGCAUCAAUGGGAAGAGAGGUCCUUGGUACUGAGAAGGCUCCAUGCCCCAGUGUAGGGGAAUGCCAGGGCAGGGAGUUGCGAGUGGGUGGGCAGCUGGGUGAGCAUCCUCAUAGAAGCAGGCGGAGAGAGGAGGGGACAGGGUGUUUCCAGAGUAGAAACCAGGAAAGGGGAUAACAUUUGAAAUGUAAAUAAAUAAAAUAUCCACUAAAAAAAAAGGUAAAAGGAAGAAAAUGUCCUCAUAUGAAAAACAGUUUUUUAAAAAAUCAAUGAAGACAAAGUAAAGUAAAAAGAAAAAAUUUCCUUCAAUAAUAUAUGUGUGUGUGUAUGUGUAUAAUUAUACACAUAAUUACUUAAAUGUAUGAUGAUAUAAAGUUGUUACUACUUAUUCAGCUACUUGAACUUCAAUGUUUUUUAAAUUGACUAUGAGGUAGUGCCGUAAUGGCAGAACCCAGAUAGGUUUUAGUUUCUGUGGAAAACUCAAAGUAUUUAAAACAAUGACAUGUGCAAGUAUAUGGUUAUUAGAGGAAGAGGAUACCCUUCCCAAACAACAGGUGCACAAGUCAUACACUGCAGGUUACUUAGCUGGCUAUAGGUCCUGGAGAUGCAUGCACUGUUCCAGUUGUCCUCUCUUCUACUGUAUACACUUUUUCUCCUAGCUCAGCAUCAUCUGUAAGAAGCACCAUAGAACCAAGGAUCUCACAAAACAGCCUUCCAGGGGAAGCUUUACAAGUUAUACUUCUCUUGUAGUCAUUACACUGAUGAGCUCUCAGGAUCCACACUAAAGAGUACAUAGAACCCAUUGGUCUUGCUGCUAUGAUAAAUCAUGCCAACACUUUGGAACAGUUUGUUGGGGUCUAUUGUUCCAGAAUGACACCAUCAAAUAGUGCACAUGAUAGUUUCAUGAAGGAUAUGAAUCCAUGCCUUAUCUCAAGCAAACAACUUAGGAAACUUACCUCUUUGGAAAUUUAAUGUGUAAUUAUUGCCACAGUAUUGGAAAAAUAUUUCAGCCCUAAGAUAUUAUGUUUAAAAAAAUCUGCAAAUCUCUGCACUGUGACUUUACCUUGAUAAUUACAUCUCUCCAUAUUGAUGAGAGAAGCCACACAGAGCAGAAUUGUAUGGAAAUCUGGACCUUGACUUUGAAUGUUGUGAAACAAAGAAUGAACUACUAGAACCCAAUGUUGCAGAAGGGCGUUUAGAUUGAGUUUUUAAACCAUAGUUCUCAAAAAAAGAAAAGGAGUAACUAUAUUUGCAGCAUCACAUGUACUUGACCUCUUACUGCUUAAAAGAAAGUUAAAUAAAACUGAAAACAAAUAGAGGUAAAAAGAGAGAAAUCUUCAAAAGAAUAGAACCCAACAAAACCCAACAAAUCAAUCAAAUAAUCACAUAGCAAGGGGUACUAUAUGGAUCAGUAGGAGACAACUUCUCUAGUAUGCGUGAUACAGUAAGUUCAAGUCACAGUACUAUAAAUUAUAGAAUAAAUAAUUUUGGGAUCAUAUAUUAGUUGUUUUUGUUUGUUUAUUUGUUUUGUUUUGUUUUUUGUUUUUUGAGACAGGGUUUUUCUGUAUAGCCCUGGCUGUCCUGGAACUCACUUUUGUAGACCAGGCUGGCCUCGAAUUCAGAAAUCCACCUGCCUCUGCCUCCUGAGUGCUGGGAUUAAAGGCAUGUGCCACAACGCCCUGCUUCAUAUAUUAGUUUUAAAACACAUCUUUCACUUUAUAUUUUUGGUAUUCCAAAGAAUUCUAUUUUUCACCUCAUCUUGUCUCAACCAAGGUUGGUGUCAAUAUAACAGUUAUAUGUUGAUUUUUCUCUCUGGUGACUCUCUAAGGUGGGACCACUCAGGAGAACACAGGCCACAGAAGCCACAGAGCAGCUGGGACAAGGUCCAUGGGCCUACAUAUGUACCCAGAAGGUGGGGCUGUUCCACAGUCCUCUGUGCUCUUUCCCUGCCAGGGGAGAGCUUGCCUCCAGGGAAUGCUCUGAUCCCAGGACUCAGGGAAGAUCACCAUUUUCUCUCCAGUUACUCUCUAAGGCAGGUCCACUCAGGAGCUCACAGGCCUCAGAAGCCACAAUCAGCUGGGACAGGGUCCUAUGGGCCUACAUCUGCACCCAGGAGGUACUACUGAUCCUCAGUCCUCUGUGAACUGGUCUUGCCAGGAGAGAGCUGGUCUCCUAGGAGUGCUGACAGAGGCUUACAGACUCACAGGAGGAACAAACUCUAGCCAGAGACAGCAAGAACAACUAACAACACAGAUUACAAGAUGGUGAUAGGCAAACACAAGUAUCAUAUCAACAGAAACCAAGACUACUUGGAAUCUUCAGAACACAGUACUCCUACCUGAGUGAAUUCUGUAUAUCCCAACAUACUAGAAAAGCAAGAUUUGGAUUUAAAAAUCAUAAUUAAUGAUGCUGUUAGAGGACUUUAAGAAAGACAUUAAUAACUCCCUUAAAGAAAUACAGGAGAACACAGCUAAACAGGUAGAAGCCCUUAAAUAGGAAACACAAAAAUCCCUUGAAGAAUUACAGGAAAAUACAGGGAAACAGGUGAAGGAAUUGAACAAAACAAUCCAGGAUCUAAAAAUGGAAGUAG
Molecule: long non-coding RNA, 3457 nt
Filed under: Mus musculus (house mouse)
Lineage: Eukaryota; Metazoa; Chordata; Mammalia; Rodentia; Muridae
Description: long non-coding RNA chr12:6424205-6427662
Source: RNAcentral